UGAGUACGAGAUGCUACGGCAUCGAAGCAGUCUAUGUCAUACUUCCAAGAAAAGCUUGCACUGUCAGAAACAGAUAAUGCCUGUACCAUAACCGACACAGGUGGGUAGGUAGAGUAUACUAAGGGGCGCGAGAUAACUCUCUCUAAGGAACUCGGCAAAAUGACUCCGUAACUUCGGGAGAAGGAGUGCCUUAUUUUUAAGGUUGCAAUAACAAGAUCCAAGCAACUGUUUACCAAAAACACAGGUCUCCGCUAAGUCGUAAGACGAUGUAUGGGGGCUGACGCCUGCCCAGUGCCAGAAGGUUAAAGAAGUCGGUUAGCAUUCGCGAAGCUGGUAACUGAAGCCCUGGUGAACGGCGGCCGUAACUAUAACGGUCCUAAGGUAGCGAAAUUCCUUGUCGGGUAAGUUCCGACCCGCACGAAAGGCGUAAUGAUUUGGAUACUGUCUCGGAGAGGGGCUCGGUGAAAUAGACUUGUCUGUGAAGAUGCGGACUACCUGCACCUGGACAGAAAGACCCUAUGAAGCUUUACUGUAACUUGAAAUUGAAAUUGGACUUUAUUUGCGCAGUAUAGGUGGGAGGCGUUGAAAAUAUUCUUGCGGGAAUAUUGGAGCCAUCAGUGAGAUACCACUCUUGUAAUGUUAGAUUUCUAACUUUAUAUCAUUAUCUGGUUAAAGAACAGUUUCAGGCGGGCAGUUUGACUGGGACGGUCGCCUCCCAAAUGGUAACGGAGGCGCACAAAGGUUUCCUCUGAACGGGUAGAAAUCGUAUCUAGAGUGUAAAGGCAUAAGGAAGCUUGACUGUGAGACCUACAAGUCGAGCAGGGACGAAAGUCGGUCUUAGUGAUCUGACGGUGCUGAGUGGAAAGGCCGUCACUCAACGGAUAAAAGUUACUCUAGGAUAACAGGCUGAUCUCCCCCAAGAGUUCACAUCGACGGGGAGGUUUGGCACCUCGGUGUCGGCUCAUCGCAUCCUGGGGCGGUAGUACGUCCCAAGGGUUGGGCUGUUCGCCCAUGAAAGCGGUACGCGAGCUGGGUUCAGAACGUCGUGAGACAGUUCGGUCCAUAUCCGGUGUAGGCUUAGAAUAUUGAGAGGAGCCUUCUUUAGUACGAGAGGACCGAGAAGGACAUACCUCUGGUGUACCAGUUAUCGUGCCAACGGUAAACGCUGGGUAGCUAUGUAUGGAGUGGAUAACCGCUGAAAGCAUCUAAGUGGGAAGCCCACCUCAAGAUAAGUAUUCUCAGC
RNAcentral lists this ribosomal RNA (1243 nucleotides) under metagenome. RNAcentral describes it as "bacterial LSU rRNA". It matches the Rfam family "Bacterial large subunit ribosomal RNA", at positions 1564 to 2818 of the family's 2925-position model. The record is from RNAcentral.